Non-coding RNA from Scomber japonicus (chub mackerel), 348 nucleotides. The record is from the annotation of a RefSeq genome assembly. NCBI's taxonomy places the organism in Eukaryota, Metazoa, Chordata, Actinopteri, Scombriformes, Scombridae.
AUGACAGUUUUUCAAAGCGUCUUCCUGUUGGCUCUCAUUUCAGCUACUCAGGGCCAGUCCCUCACCUCCUCAGAGCCAGUGGUCAACAGAGCUGGACAAUCAGUCACUCUGUCCUGUAAAGUUGAAGGACUUUCUCUUGCUUGGCUGCACUGGAUUCGUCAGAAAUCAGGGAAAGGACUGGAGUGGAUUGGACGCAUUGAUAGUGGAACUGGCACAAUAUUUUCCCAAAGUCUUCAAGGCCAGUUUUCCAUCACGAAAGACACUUCCCAAAAUGUUGUGUACUUAGAGGUGAAGAGUCUGAAAGCAGAAGACUCUGCUGUUUAUUACUGUGCACGAGAGCCACAGUGA